This 29-nucleotide non-coding RNA is filed under the name Rattus norvegicus (Norway rat). The record is from RNAcentral. Lineage: Eukaryota; Metazoa; Chordata; Mammalia; Rodentia; Muridae.
UCAUGUCAGAAUAGUCUUUUCAGGCCUAU